UGACUCUCGGUAACGGAUAUCUCGGCUCUCGCAUCGAUGAAGAACGUAACUAAAUGCGAUACUUGGUGUGAAUUGCAGAAUCCCGUGAACCAUCGAGUCUUUGAAUGCAAGUUGCGCCCGAAGCCAAUAGGCCAAGGGCACGUCUGCCUGGGUGUUACA
RNAcentral lists this ribosomal RNA (159 nucleotides) under Lysiloma divaricatum. RNAcentral's name for it is "5.8S ribosomal RNA". It matches the Rfam family "5.8S ribosomal RNA". Rfam says of the family: 5.8S ribosomal RNA (5.8S rRNA) is a component of the large subunit of the eukaryotic ribosome. It is transcribed by RNA polymerase I as part of the 45S precursor that also contains 18S and 28S rRNA. Lineage: Eukaryota; Viridiplantae; Streptophyta; Magnoliopsida; Fabales; Fabaceae. The record is from RNAcentral.